AACCCUCGCUGUGUGUUACAAGUGUCGACACGGAACUGCCGGUCAUAAACCGGAGGAAGGUGGGGAUGACGUCAAGUCAGCAUGGCCUUUAUAUCCUGGGCUACACACACGCUACAAUGGGAAGGGACAAUAGGUUGCGAAGCCGCGAGGCGGAGCCAAUCCAGCAAACUUCCCUCAGUUCAGAUUGCAGGCUGCAACUCGCCUGCAUGAAGUUGGAGUUGCUAGUAAACGCAGGUCAGCCAUACUGCGUUGAAUACGUUCCCGGGGCUU
Molecule: ribosomal RNA, 270 nt
Filed under: uncultured Anaerolineaceae bacterium
Lineage: Bacteria; Bacillati; Chloroflexota; Anaerolineae; Anaerolineales; Anaerolineaceae
Description: partial 16S ribosomal RNA
Rfam family: Bacterial small subunit ribosomal RNA
Source: RNAcentral